CAAGUCGAGUGCGCGCCUGUAGCAAUACAGGUGGCGCACGGCGCACGGGUGCGUAACACGUGGGUAAUCUGCCCUUCGAUGGGGAAUAACUCGCCGAAAGGCGAGCUAAUUCCGCAUAACAUUCCGAGAACUUUGGUUUUUGGAUUCAAAGGCGUAAGUCGUCGGAGGAGGAGCCCGCGCACGAUUAGCUAGUUGGUGAGGUAAUGGCUCACCAAGGCUAUGAUCGUUAGCUGGUCUGAGAGGAUGGCCAGCCACACUGGAACUGAGACACGGUCCAGACUCCUACGGGAGGCAGCAGUGGGGAAUCUUGCACAAUGGGCGAAAGCCUGAUGCAGCGACGCCGCGUGGGGGAUGAAGCUUUUCGGAGUGUAAACCCCUUUCGACCCGGACGAAUGCCCCGCAAGGGGACUGACGGUACGGGUAUAAGAAGCCCCGGCUAACUACGUGCCAGCAGCCGCGGUAAGACGUAGGGGGCCAGCGUUGCUCGGAAUUACUGGGUGUAAAGGGUUCGUAGGCGGUGUGGCAAGUCGGGAGUGAAAUCUCUGGGCUCAACCCAGAGUCUGCUUCCGAAACUGCUGUGCUUGAGUGUGGGAGAGGCGCGUGGAAUUGCAGGUGUAGCGGUGAAAUGCGUAGAUAUCUGCAGGAACACCCGUGGCGAAAGCGGCGCGCUGGACCACUACUGAUGCUGAGGAACGAAAGCUAGGGGAGCAAACAGGAUUAGAUACCCUGGUAGUCCUAGCCCUAAACGAUCAGGACUUGGGGUGCCGCCCGUUCGGGCGUCGUCCCGGAGCUAACGCGUUAAGUCCUGCACCUGGGGAGUACGGUCGCAAGACUGAAACUCAAAGGAAUUGACGGGGGCCC
This 861-nucleotide ribosomal RNA is filed under the name uncultured Acidobacteriota bacterium. Its description in RNAcentral is "bacterial SSU rRNA". It matches the Rfam family "Bacterial small subunit ribosomal RNA", at positions 58 to 922 of the family's 1533-position model. The record is from RNAcentral. Lineage: Bacteria; Pseudomonadati; Acidobacteriota.